GUUCUCUUUGGCAGAAGAUAUACUAAAAUUGCAGUGAUACAGAGAAGAUUAGCAUAGCCCCUGAGCAAGGAUGACACACAAAUUUGUGAAGUCUUCCAUAUUGGA
Erinaceus europaeus (western European hedgehog) is the source of this 105-nucleotide small nuclear RNA. The record is from Ensembl. Lineage: Eukaryota; Metazoa; Chordata; Mammalia; Eulipotyphla; Erinaceidae.